CCCGUGUGAAUCUGGCGGGACCACCCGCUAAGCCUAAAUAUUCCCUGGUGACCGAUAGCGGAUAGUACCGUGAGGGAAUGGUGAAAAGUACCGCGGGAGCGGAGUGAAAUAGUACCUGAAACCGUGUGCCUACAAGCCGUGGGAGCGUCGGAUGGAAGCUUGCUUCCAUCUCGUGACUGCGUGCCUUUUGAAGAAUGAGCCUGCGAGUUUGCGGUGUGUUGCGAGGUUAACCCGGGUGGGGAAGCCGUAGCGAAAGCGAGUCCGAAUAGGGCGUUUCAGUAGCACGCUCAAGACCCGAAGCGGAGUGAUCUAGCCAUGGGCAGGUUGAAGCGGAGGUAAGACUUCGUGGAGGACCGAACCCACCGAGGGUUGAAAACCGUGGGGGAUGACCUGUGGUUAGGGUGAAAGGCCAAUCAAACUCCGUGAUAGCUGGUUCCUCCCCGAAAUGCUAUUUAGGUGCAGCGUCGUGUUGUUUCUUGCCGGAGGUAGAGC
Molecule: non-coding RNA, 492 nt
Filed under: Streptomyces afghaniensis 772
Lineage: Bacteria; Bacillati; Actinomycetota; Actinomycetes; Kitasatosporales; Streptomycetaceae
Description: Bacterial large subunit ribosomal RNA
Rfam family: Bacterial large subunit ribosomal RNA
Source: Rfam by way of RNAcentral